UUAAGCGACUAAGCGUACACGGUGGAUGCCCUGGCAGUCAGAGGCGAUGAAGGACGUGCUAAUCUGCGAUAAGCGUCGGUAAGGUGAUAUGAACCGUUAUAACCGGCGAUUUCCGAAUGGGGAAACCCAGUGUGAUUCGUCACACUAUCAUUAACUGAAUCCAUAGGUUAAUGAGGCGAACCGGGGGAACUGAAACAUCUAAGUACCCCGAGGAAAAGAAAUCAACCGAGAUUCCCCCAGUAGCGGCGAGCGAACGGGGAGGAGCCCAGAGCCUGAAUCAGUGUGUGUGUUAGUGGAAGCGUCUGGAAAGGCGCGCGAUACAGGGUGACAGCCCCGUACACAAAAAUGCACAUGCUGUGAGCUCGAUGAGUAGGGCGGGACACGUGGUAUCCUGUCUGAAUAUGGGGGGACCAUCCUCCAAGGCUAAAUACUCCUGACUGACCGAUAGUGAACCAGUACCGUGAGGGAAAGGCGAAAAGAACCCCGGCGAGGGGAGUGAAAAAGAACCUGAAACCGUGUACGUACAAGCAGUGGGAGCACGCUUAGGCGUGUGACUGCGUACCUUUUGUAUAAUGGGUCAGCGACUUAUAUUCUGUAGCAAGGUUAACCGAAUAGGGGAGCCGAAGGGAAACCGAGUCUUAACUGGGCGUUAAGUUGCAGGGUAUAGACCCGAAACCCGGUGAUCUAGCCAUGGGCAGGUUGAAGGUUGGGUAACACUAACUGGAGGACCGAACCGACUAAUGUUGAAAAAUUAGCGGAUGACUUGUGGCUGGGGGUGAAAGGCCAAUCAAACCGGGAGAUAGCUGGUUCUCCCCGAAAGCUAUUUAGGUAGCGCCUCGUGAAUUCAUCUCCGGGGGUAGAGCACUGUUUCGGCAAGGGGGUCAUCCCGACUUACCAACCCGAUGCAAACUGCGAAUACCGGAGAAUGUUAUCACGGGAGACACACGGCGGGUGCUAACGUCCGUCGUGAAGAGGGAAACAACCCAGACCGCCAGCUAAGGUCCCAAAGUCAUGGUUAAGUGGGAAACGAUGUGGGAAGGCCCAGACAGCCAGGAUGUUGGCUUAGAAGCAGCCAUCAUUUAAAGAAAGCGUAAUAGCUCACUGGUCGAGUCGGCCUGCGCGGAAGAUGUAACGGGGCUAAACCAUGCACCGAAGCUGCGGCAGCGACGCUGAUGCGUUGUUGGGUAGGGGAGCGUUCUGUAAGCCUGUGAAGGUGUGCUGUGAGGCAUGCUGGAGGUAUCAGAAGUGCGAAUGCUGACAUAAGUAACGAUAAAGCGGGUGAAAAGCCCGCUCGCCGGAAGACCAAGGGUUCCUGUCCAACGUUAAUCGGGGCAGGGUGAGUCGACCCCUAAGGCGAGGCCGAAAGGCGUAGUCGAUGGGAAACAGGUUAAUAUUCCUGUACUUGGUGUUACUGCGAAGGGGGGACGGAGAAGGCUAUGUUGGCCGGGCGACGGUUGUCCCGGUUUAAGCGUGUAGGCUGGUUUUCCAGGCAAAUCCGGAAAAUCAAGGCUGAGGCGUGAUGACGAGGCACUACGGUGCUGAAGCAACAAAUGCCCUGCUUCCAGGAAAAGCCUCUAAGCAUCAGGUAACAUCAAAUCGUACCCCAAACCGACACAGGUGGUCAGGUAGAGAAUACCAAGGCGCUUGAGAGAACUCGGGUGAAGGAACUAGGCAAAAUGGUGCCGUAACUUCGGGAGAAGGCACGCUGAUAUGUAGGUGAAGUCCCUCGCGGAUGGAGCUGAAAUCAGUCGAAGAUACCAGCUGGCUGCAACUGUUUAUUAAAAACACAGCACUGUGCAAACACGAAAGUGGACGUAUACGGUGUGACGCCUGCCCGGUGCCGGAAGGUUAAUUGAUGGGGUCAGCGCAAGCGAAGCUCUUGAUCGAAGCCCCGGUAAACGGCGGCCGUAACUAUAACGGUCCUAAGGUAGCGAAAUUCCUUGUCGGGUAAGUUCCGACCUGCACGAAUGGCGUAAUGAUGGCCAGGCUGUCUCCACCCGAGACUCAGUGAAAUUGAACUCGCUGUGAAGAUGCAGUGUACCCGCGGCAAGACGGAAAGACCCCGUGAACCUUUACUAUAGCUUGACACUGAACAUUGAGCCUUGAUGUGUAGGAUAGGUGGGAGGCUUUGAAGUGUGGACGCCAGUCUGCAUGGAGCCGACCUUGAAAUACCACCCUUUAAUGUUUGAUGUUCUAACGUUGACCCGUAAUCCGGGUUGCGGACAGUGUCUGGUGGGUAGUUUGACUGGGGCGGUCUCCUCCUAAAGAGUAACGGAGGAGCACGAAGGUUGGCUAAUCCUGGUCGGACAUCAGGAGGUUAGUGCAAUGGCAUAAGCCAGCUUGACUGCGAGCGUGACGGCGCGAGCAGGUGCGAAAGCAGGUCAUAGUGAUCCGGUGGUUCUGAAUGGAAGGGCCAUCGCUCAACGGAUAAAAGGUACUCCGGGGAUAACAGGCUGAUACCGCCCAAGAGUUCAUAUCGACGGCGGUGUUUGGCACCUCGAUGUCGGCUCAUCACAUCCUGGGGCUGAAGUAGGUCCCAAGGGUAUGGCUGUUCGCCAUUUAAAGUGGUACGCGAGCUGGGUUUAGAACGUCGUGAGACAGUUCGGUCCCUAUCUGCCGUGGGCGCUGGAGAAUUGAGGGGGGCUGCUCCUAGUACGAGAGGACCGGAGUGGACGCAUCACUGGUGUUCGGGUUGUCAUGCCAAUGGCACUGCCCGGUAGCUAAAUGCGGAAGAGAUAAGUGCUGAAAGCAUCUAAGCACGAAACUUGCCCCGAGAUGAGUUCUCCCUGACUCCUUGAGAGUCCUGAAGGAACGUUGAAGACGACGACGUUGAUAGGCCGGGUGUGUAAGCGCAGCGAUGCGUUGAGCUAACCGGUACUAAUGAACCGUGAGGCUUAACCUU
Molecule: ribosomal RNA, 2902 nt
Filed under: Escherichia coli
Lineage: Bacteria; Pseudomonadati; Pseudomonadota; Gammaproteobacteria; Enterobacterales; Enterobacteriaceae
Description: bacterial LSU rRNA
Rfam family: Bacterial large subunit ribosomal RNA
Source: RNAcentral